This 245-nucleotide ribosomal RNA is filed under the name uncultured bacterium. RNAcentral describes it as "partial 16S ribosomal RNA". It matches the Rfam family "Bacterial small subunit ribosomal RNA", at positions 524 to 768 of the family's 1533-position model. The record is from RNAcentral.
UACGAAGGGAGCUAGCGUUGUUCGGAUUUACUGGGCGUAAAGGGCGCGUAGGCGGUUUGAUAAGUUGGAAGUGAAAGCCCUGGGCUCAACCCGGGAAUUGCUUUCAAAACUAUCUUACUUGAAUUCGGUAGAGGUUGGUAGAAUUCCCAGUGUAGAGGUGAAAUUCGUAGAGAUUGGGAAGAAUACCCGUGGCGAAGGCGGCCAACUGGACCGACAUUGACGCUGAGGCGCGAAAGCGUGGGUAG